RNAcentral lists this RNase P RNA (334 nucleotides) under Ruminococcus gauvreauii. RNAcentral describes it as "Bacterial RNase P class A". It matches the Rfam family "Bacterial RNase P class A". From Rfam's summary of the family: Ribonuclease P (RNase P) is a ubiquitous endoribonuclease, found in archaea, bacteria and eukarya as well as chloroplasts and mitochondria. Its best characterised activity is the generation of mature 5'-ends of tRNAs by cleaving the 5'-leader elements of precursor-tRNAs. Lineage: Bacteria; Bacillati; Bacillota; Clostridia; Eubacteriales; Oscillospiraceae. The record is from RNAcentral.
UGAUCGCGGCUGACGUAUACCGAAAGGUGUCAGGUGAGGAAAGUCCGGGCUUCGAAGGGCAGGAUGCCGGAUAACGUCCGGUGGAGGUGACUCCAAGGCCAGUGCAACAGAAAUAUACCGCCUGCCAGGUGCAGGUAAGGGUGGAAGGGCAGUGUAAGAGACUACCGCCUGACUGGUAACAGACAGGGCACAUGUAAACCCCAUCCGAAGCAAGACCGAACAAAAAGCAAUGUGGCUGCCCGUCACGCUUUUAGGUGGGUCGCUUGAGGCUGCUGGCGACAGCAGCACUAGACAGAUGAUCAUUCACGACAUAACCCGGCUUAUCGUUCUGCUU